RNAcentral lists this ribosomal RNA (253 nucleotides) under uncultured bacterium. RNAcentral's name for it is "partial 16S ribosomal RNA". It matches the Rfam family "Bacterial small subunit ribosomal RNA", at positions 524 to 776 of the family's 1533-position model. The record is from RNAcentral.
UACGUAGGUGGCAAGCGUUGUCCGGAAUUAUUGGGCGUAAAGCGCGCGCAGGCGGUCCUUUAAGUCUGAUGUGAAAGCCCACGGCUCAACCGUGGAGGGUCAUUGGAAACUGGGGGACUUGAGUACAGAAGAGAAGAGUGGAAUUCCACGUGUAGCGGUGAAAUGCGUAGAGAUGUGGAGGAACACCAGUGGCGAAGGCGACUCUUUGGUCUGUAACUGACGCUGAGGCGCGAAAGCCAGGGGAGCGAACGGG